CACAAGUCCGCAAUUCCAUCCAGAGCUGACAAACCUAAACCCCUAAGAAAAGAGCUGAAAAUACAGAAAAAUACAAAAAAAGAGAUAGACCUAAGACUAAGGAGAAGACCAGCCGUUUUCUGAAUGGGGAAUACACAGUAGACCAUUAGAUCAUCUUCUCCAUUAGAUCUAACACCUAAACAGACAUAUACGCACAAAGCUAAGAUCCACCAUUUUUUCCAAAAUCUUCCCAUCGUCCUGCUUCUUCUUCAGAGAAUCAAAUACACGACCUCCCCCAUCGUUCUUCACCAUCUUAAGCAUCUUCAAACCUUGAAAACCCAAAAUAAAACACACCCAUAUAAACGUACACAUACACAAAAUACGCCAGAAAUCAGCAACACACCAGACUUUCAAGCUUCUUAGCUGUCAUUGCUGGAAACCGCCCAGCUCUCACCCUUUCCAUGGAUGUCGCUUCCGGAGGUGAUGACCGGAGGACGGCCAUGACUAUCACUCCUGUUCUUAACCAUUGUUCAUGUCAUUUCUUUCCCCUCUACUGUCAUUAUUUCGCCGGAUUCACACCAUUGACGGCGAAUGAACAGAAAACCGGCGAUAAUCAUCAAAACUGUCGAAUCUAUUUUUGCCAAGUUGUAUAAAAAAUAACAUGUUGAUGUUGUCUGAGGUAGUGGUUUGAGGGUGAAGUUCCGAGGUUUCCGUCGUUGUUCUUGAUCCGGUCAGUUGGUUCAAGCUUCCUUUUUUCUAUUUGAUCAUGCAAUUUUGUUUUAUUAAAUUUUACGGGAUUUUGUUUGAUCAUGCGGCAGUUAGUUGGUUCAAGUUAUGAAUGAUGUUGAUUAUUUUUGUUUGCAUCAUUGUUGGUCUAAAUUUAUUUUAAGUAAUUUAUUAGUUUGUGUUUUCUAGCUCAAAAUUAUUGUUUAAUACCAAGCAAGUUAGUAAAUUGUUUAGGCUAAGUUUGUCAUGAAUUGCUUGAAUGGCCUUAGGGAUUGGAUAUAAUAUGUAAAAAAAAAUUAGACUCUUAAUAUUUUUAUCACUUAUAUUUCGUCAUAUUCGUAGAAGAUGUUUUAGGCGCGUUUUAAAAUUGUUAUCGUGAUUAUGUACACGUUCGCAGGACAUAAUUAUGAUUUUUCUACAAAUAAAUCGAGGUGUGCCAUCCAAUCACAUAGUCUAUGGCCCUCUCAUAAAUAAAAAAUUAGUAUAGAAAAUGCCUUGAACUUUCGUAGUUUACUUUAGGCGCGUUAAUUGAAUAAUUGUCAUGGCUACGGGUACGGUUCCCGUGACGUAGUUGUGAUGCUUAAUUUCUAAAAAUUUGUGGGUACAUUUCAUGCGGCCCGGUUCUAAUUUCCAUCAAGAUUAAAUAGAACGCGUCGUGAAUCACGGGUGCAUUUCAUGUAGCGUGGCUUGCGAUAUAUUUUAAAUAACCUUGAAUUAAUUCUUUAAAUAAGAAAAAACGGUUUUCAAAAGUUAAAAGGCACAUAGAUUUAAAAGUGUUUAAAAUCAGAUAAUUAGACCAAGAAUAAUAGUUGAGCGACCGUGCUAGAACCAAGGAACCUGGAAUUGCCUAACACCUUCUUCUGGGUUAACAGAAUUCCUUACCCGGAUUUAUGUGUUCGCGGACUAUAAAACAGAGUCAAUCUUUCCUCGAUUCGGGAUUUGAACCGGUGACUUGGGAUACCUUAAAUUAUCCCAAGUGGCGACUCUGAUUUUAAUUUAAAUAAUCUUCUUUUGAUUGUCACUUAAAUUGGAAAAACUCCUUUAUACCCUUUUGGAGGUAGAAAAAGGAGGUGUGACAACUCUGGCGAUUCUUCUGGGGAAAAGAACCCAGAACUUCUGGUUCAGGGUUCAGAAUUCGAGCUUAGAAUAUCUGUUAUAAUUGGCUUUAUUUAUUAUCUGAUUUUUUUCAUGUUUGAACAUAAUGUGUUAAAUGUUGCUUUUUACCGCUUUGAUAUUAUUCGGACUAUAUAUAAAUUGUUACGAAACUCUCAUCUCUCUGAGUCUUCUAAAUCUUCUGGGAAGUGUGCACUUCGUGUGACUUCUGUUAGAGUCAUAUUCCAAUUUUAGAAUGAGGUUCGGAUAAGUUGCAAAGUCGAUGAAGCUUAUGUAUUCCCGGUACGCUGCCUCCCCCCCCCUCGACUCAAGUUGUCCGCUCGGGUAAGCCAGGUCUAGAACAAAAAAAUCAAGGUUUUUAAAUCUAGAAUAACAUAGCCUCAUGUCGGAUCCCUAGUAGGAAUGCUUGUUUGCAUCACGUGCAUCUGACUUUGGGGACUCAACACAGGGGUUGAGUCCGUCUAGGACAGGUGUACCCAAAAUAGCAGACUAUCUUGAUGCAUCUUAUGUGCUACAUGUUGCAUUUCUUCAAAGGUAAAAGGGUCAUUUGGCAGACCAAUGAUAGCUCCGGGCAAACGAAAAAAAAAAGGUGAAGUGUGAAAAUGAAGCAAGUAGGGCUCAGUAUAACUUUCUUUGACACUUUUUCAAGAAUAAAAAAACAAAAAAAUGAAAGUGAAAAAAUCCAAAAAAAUUUGGCACUUUCCCCAUCAUUUUUUCAAAAAGAAAAAAAGAAAAUCCAAAAAAGAUUUUACAUGUUUCAUCAUUUUUUCAAGAAAAGACAAAAAAAAUAUAUUUUCUCUAAGUUAUUUGUUAAUUUUAUUUCUCGCUCGUAUCCAAUCUGCCCGAACUACGCAUACAUGAUUCUCGUCUUUCGGGGAGUGAUACGUAGGCAACCCACAUAGGGUCCGAUCUUCUUAAUGAGUUUAGGUUCUUGGCUUCGCGGGGUCUUAGCCAAAUCUUGCAUUUUUAGCCACAGAGGUUAAUUUUAGAAAAAUCGUCAUAAUCAUGUCUUGCAUGUGUCUGGUAGGGAAUGUUAUUGUCUCACAUAGCGUUGGUUUGAGUUUUUUCAUACAGGUGUGGAUCUACUUACUGGAGUUUGAGCAUGACAGACACCUCAGGACCAUCCUCAGGAUCGCUUAUUCAGGAGUUGCUAAAGAAGAUUUUUAUUUUUAUUUUUUUAUGCUUUGAGUCUGUUUUUCUUUUUAUAACAUCUUUUACCUUCUAGUUUUGUAUGGUAAUGUCGAGUUUUUUUAUUAUUAUUGUACUUUCUAUUUUACAUUUGAAAAAGUGUGU
RNAcentral lists this long non-coding RNA (3111 nucleotides) under Nicotiana tabacum (common tobacco). RNAcentral's name for it is "long non-coding RNA (NTAB_LNC017925)". The record is from RNAcentral. Lineage: Eukaryota; Viridiplantae; Streptophyta; Magnoliopsida; Solanales; Solanaceae.